RNAcentral lists this ribosomal RNA (519 nucleotides) under uncultured eukaryote. RNAcentral's name for it is "bacterial SSU rRNA". It matches the Rfam family "Eukaryotic small subunit ribosomal RNA", at positions 1161 to 1707 of the family's 1831-position model. The record is from RNAcentral.
AGGGCACCACCAGAUAUGGAGCCUGCGGCUUAAUUUGACUCAACACGGGGAAACUUACCCGGCCCGGACACUGGUAGGAUUGACAGAUUGAGAGCUCUUUCUUGAUUCGGUGGGUGGUGGUGCAUGGCCGUUCUUAGUUGGUGGAGCGAUUUGUCUGGUUAAUUCCGAUAACGAACGAGACUCUGGCCUACUAACUAGACUGUGGAUCUUUUUGUGGGUCCAUCGCAGCUUCUUCUUCGGACGGGGGGCGGUUGUGCGGACGAGAUUGAGGAUUGAUAGGGCUGUGAUGCCCUUAUCAGCCCUGCGAUGCACACGCGCUACACUGAAGGAAUGCCCUUGUGUGCCCUACCCCAAAGGCGUGGUAAACUGAAUGAACCUCCUUCGUGAUGGGGAUUCCUACUUGUCUUAUUCCCCAUGAACGAUGAAUUCCCUUCGUGAUUGAGUAUAGGAUUGCGUUAUUACGUUGUGCCCUUUGUCCCACCGCCCGUCGCUACUACCUUGCGAGUGAUUACGUGAGGC